Non-coding RNA from Podarcis lilfordi (Lilford's wall lizard), 71 nucleotides. The record is from the annotation of a GenBank genome assembly. NCBI's taxonomy places the organism in Eukaryota, Metazoa, Chordata, Lepidosauria, Squamata, Lacertidae.
GGGCCAUAGCUCAGUGGUACAGCAUUUGUCUUUCGUACAGAAGGUCACAGGUUCAAUCCCUACCAUUUCCA